GACGAACGCUGGCGGCGUGCUUAACACAUGCAAGUCGAACGGAAAGGCUCCAGCUUGCUGGAGUACUCGAGUGGCGAACGGGUGAGUAACACGUGGGUAAUCUGCCCUGCACUCUGGGAUAAGCCUGGGAAACUGGGUCUAAUACUGGAUAUGACCUUUCUCCUUAUGGGGGUUGGUGGAAAGUUUUUCGGUGUAGGAUGAGCCCGCGGCCUAUCAGCUUGUUGGUGGGGUUAUGGCCUACCAAGGCGACGACGGGUAGCCGGCCUGAGAGGGUGAUCGGCCACAUUGGGACUGAGAUACGGCCCAGACUCCUACGGGAGGCAGCAGUGGGGAAUAUUGCACAAUGGGCGGAAGCCUGAUGCAGCGACGCCGCGUGAGGGAUGACGGCCUUCGGGUUGUAAACCUCUUUCAGCAGGGACGAAGCGUAAGUGACGGUACCUGCAGAAGAAGCACCGGCUAACUAUGUG
RNAcentral lists this ribosomal RNA (467 nucleotides) under uncultured bacterium. Its description in RNAcentral is "partial 16S ribosomal RNA". It matches the Rfam family "Bacterial small subunit ribosomal RNA", at positions 28 to 507 of the family's 1533-position model. The record is from RNAcentral.